This 505-nucleotide ribosomal RNA is filed under the name uncultured bacterium. RNAcentral describes it as "partial 16S ribosomal RNA". It matches the Rfam family "Bacterial small subunit ribosomal RNA", at positions 28 to 507 of the family's 1533-position model. The record is from RNAcentral.
GACGAACGCUGGCGGCGUGCCUAAUUCAUGCAAGUAGAACGCACAUUUUAUACCGUAGCUUGCUACACCAUAAACUGUGAGUUGCGAACUGGUGAGUAACGCGUAGGUAACCUGCCUGUUAGCGGCGGUUAACUAUUGGAUACGAUAGCUAAUACCGCAUAAUAUUGAUUAUUGCAUGAUAAUUGAUUGAAAGAUGCUAUUGCAUCACUACCAGAUGGACCUGAGUUGUAUUAGAUAGUAGGUGAGGUAACGGCUCACCUAUGCGAAGAUACAUAGGCGAACUGAGAGAGUGAUCGGCCACGCUGGGACUGGGAAACAACCAAGACUCCUACGAGAGGCAGAAGUGGGGGAUGUUGAGCAAUGGACGAAAGUCUGAGCGAGCAACGCCGAGUGAGUGAAGAGGGUUGACGGAUAGUAAGGCUAUGUUAUAGGAGAAGAACGGGAGUGAGAGAGGAAAGGUGAAACAGUAACGGUGUCUGACGAGGAAGAAACAGCAAAAUACGAG